GAUGAACGCUGGCGGCGUGCCUAAUACAUGCAAGUCGAGCGAACGGACGAGAAGCUUGCUUCUCUGAUGUUAGCGGCGGACGGGUGAGUAACACGUGGAUAACCUACCUAUAAGACUGGGAUAACUUCGGGAAACCGGAGCUAAUACCGGAUAAUAUUUUGAACCGCAUGGUUCAAAAGUGAAAGACGGUCUUGCUGUCACUUAUAGAUGGAUCCGCGCUGCAUUAGCUAGUUGGUAAGGUAACGGCUUACCAAGGCAACGAUGCAUAGCCGACCUGAGAGGGUGAUCGGCCACACUGGAACUGAGACACGGUCCAGACUCCUACGGGAGGCAGCAGUAGGGAAUCUUCCGCAAUGGGCGAAAGCCUGACGGAGCAACGCCGCGUGAGUGAUGAAGGUCUUCGGAUCGUAAAACUCUGUUAUUAGGGAAGAACAUAUGUGUAAGUAACUGUGCACAUCUUGACGGUACCUAAUCAGAAAGCCACGGCUAACUACGUGCCAGCAGCCGCGGUAAUACGUAGGUGGCAAGCGUUAUCCGGAAUUAUUGGGCGUAAAGCGCGCGUAGGCGGUUUUUUAAGUCUGAUGUGAAAGCCCACGGCUCAACCGUGGAGGGUCAUUGGAAACUGGAAAACUUGAGUGCAGAAGAGGAAAGUGGAAUUCCAUGUGUAGCGGUGAAAUGCGCAGAGAUAUGGAGGAACACCAGUGGCGAAGGCGACUUUCUGGUCUGUAACUGACGCUGAUGUGCGAAAGCGUGGGGACCAAACAGGAUUAGAUACCCUGGUAGUCCACGCCGUAAACGAUGAGUGCUAAGUGUUAGGGGGUUUCCGCCCCUUAGUGCUGCAGCUAACGCAUUAAGCACUCCGCCUGGGGAGUACGACCGCAAGGUUGAAACUCAAAGGAAUUGACGGGGACCCGCACAAGCGGUGGAGCAUGUGGUUUAAUUCGAAGCAACGCGAAGAACCUUACCAAAUCUUGACAUCCUUUGACAACUCUAGAGAUAGAGCCUUCCCCUUCGGGGGACAAAGUGACAGGUGGUGCAUGGUUGUCGUCAGCUCGUGUCGUGAGAUGUUGGGUUAAGUCCCGCAACGAGCGCAACCCUUAAGCUUAGUUGCCAUCAUUAAGUUGGGCACUCUAAGUUGACUGCCGGUGACAAACCGGAGGAAGGUGGGGAUGACGUCAAAUCAUCAUGCCCCUUAUGAUUUGGGCUACACACGUGCUACAAUGGACAAUACAAAGGGCAGCGAAACCGCGAGGUCAAGCAAAUCCCAUAAAGUUGUUCUCAGUUCGGAUUGUAGUCUGCAACUCGACUACAUGAAGCUGGAAUCGCUAGUAAUCGUAGAUCAGCAUGCUACGGUGAAUACGUUCCCGGGUCU
This 1372-nucleotide ribosomal RNA is filed under the name uncultured bacterium. RNAcentral's name for it is "bacterial SSU rRNA". It matches the Rfam family "Bacterial small subunit ribosomal RNA", at positions 28 to 1381 of the family's 1533-position model. The record is from RNAcentral.